RNAcentral lists this ribosomal RNA (406 nucleotides) under uncultured bacterium. Its description in RNAcentral is "partial 16S ribosomal RNA". It matches the Rfam family "Bacterial small subunit ribosomal RNA", at positions 28 to 526 of the family's 1533-position model. The record is from RNAcentral.
GACGAACGCUGGCGGCGUGCCUAAUACAUGCAAGUCGAACGAGUGGCGGACGGGUGAGUAACACGUGGGAACCUACCCAUCAGAGGGGGAUAACUACUGGAAACGGUGGCUAAUACCGCAUACUAUCGGUUGAACCCAGAGGGGAUUAGCUAGUAGGUGGGGUAAAGGGUAACCUAGGCGACGCUCUCUAGCUGGUCUGAGAGGAUGAUGAGCAACACUUGGACUUAGACACGGCCCCGCUUCUUACGGGAGGCACAGUUGGGGAAUAUUGCACAAUGGGCGCAAGCGUGAUGCAGCAAUGCCGCGUGUAUGAAGAAGGCCUUAGGGUUGUAAAGUACUUUCAGCGGGGAGGCGUUACCCGAAGAAGAAGCACCGGCUAACUCCGUGCCAGCAGCCGCGGUAAUAC